UCAGGAUGAACGCUAGCUACAGGCUUAACACAUGCAAGUCGCGGGGCAGCAUGUGGUUGCUUGCAACCAAUGAUGGCGACCGGCGCACGGGUGAGUAACGCGUAUCCAACCUGGCCCAUAGUAGGGGAUAGCCCGGCGAAAGUCGGAUUAAUACCCUAUGUUCUUCUUUGAGGACAUCUGAAAUGAAGCAAAGGUUCACCGCUAUGGGAUGGGGAUGCGUCUGAUUAGCUUGCCGGCGGGGUAACGGCCCACCGGGGCAACGAUCAGUAGGGGUUCUGAGAGGAAGGUCCCCCACACUGGUACUGAGACACGGACCAGACUCCUACGGGAGGCAGCAGUGAGGAAUAUUGGUCAACGGGCGAGAGCCUGAACCAGCCAAGUAGCGUGCAGGAUGACUGCCCUAUGGGUUGUAAACUGCUUUUAUAGGGGAAUAAAGUGAGGUAUGCAUACCUUUUUGUAUGUACCCUAUGAAUAAGGACCGGCUAAUUCCGUGCCAGCCGCGGC
RNAcentral lists this ribosomal RNA (504 nucleotides) under uncultured bacterium. RNAcentral describes it as "bacterial SSU rRNA". It matches the Rfam family "Bacterial small subunit ribosomal RNA", at positions 24 to 518 of the family's 1533-position model. The record is from RNAcentral.